Molecule: long non-coding RNA, 299 nt
Filed under: Pan troglodytes (chimpanzee)
Lineage: Eukaryota; Metazoa; Chordata; Mammalia; Primates; Hominidae
Description: long non-coding RNA NONPTRT005331
Source: RNAcentral
AAUAAUGCUUAGAUUUGCCCUUUUGAGGCUAUUUUUUUUUUUUUUUUUUAGAUCCUGUAGGUGUGCUUCAUUUUGUGGUGUCAAAACCAGCCAGGAACAUGUUUUUCCCUUUGGAGCGGUGAGUUUUCACAGGCCCCAGUAUGGUUCAGAGGUGCUGUCCACAAAUCCUAGAAACAACCCAGAUGUCCUUCAACAGAGGAAUGGUUAAACUGCAUAAGAUCUAGUCCAUGGAAUACUACUGAGCAAGAAAGGACAUGAACUUUUAGAUACAGGCAACAAUUAGGAUCAAUCUCCAGGGA